RNAcentral lists this ribosomal RNA (440 nucleotides) under uncultured bacterium. Its description in RNAcentral is "partial 16S ribosomal RNA". It matches the Rfam family "Bacterial small subunit ribosomal RNA", at positions 338 to 795 of the family's 1533-position model. The record is from RNAcentral.
CCUACGGGAGGCAGCAGUAGGGAAUAUUGCUCAAUGGGGGAAACCCUGAAGCAGCAACGCCGCGUGGAGGAUGAAGGUUUUCGGAUUGUAAACUCCUUUUGUUAGAGAAGAUAAUGACGGUAUCUAACGAAUAAGCACCGGCUAACGCCGUGCCAGCAGCCGCGGUAAUACGGAGGGUGCAAGCGUUACUCGGAAUCACUGGGCGUAAAGAGCGCGUAGGCGGGUUAGCAAGUCAGAUGUGAAAUCCUAUGGCUUAACCAUAGAACUGCAUUUGAAACUGUUAUUCUAGAGUAUGGGAGAGGUAGGUGGAAUGCUUGGUGUAGGGGUAAAAUGCGUAGAGAUCAAGAGGAACACUCAUUGCGAAGGCGACCUGCUAGAACAUAACUGACGCUGAUGCGCGAAAGCGUGGGGAGCAAACAGGAUUAGAUACCCGUGUAGUC